UACGAAGGGGGCUAGCGUUGUUCGGAUUUACUGGGCGUAAAGCGCGUGUAGGCGGGCUGGAAAGUUGGGGGUGAAAUCCCGAGGCUCAACCUCGGAACUGCCUCCAAAACUUCCAGCCUGGACUCAAGCAGAGGCAAGUGGAAUUGCGAGUGUAGAGGUGAAAUUCGUAGAUAUUCGCAGGAACACCAGUGGCGAAGGCGACUUGCUGGGCUUGUGGUGACGCUGAGACGCGAAAGCGUGGGGAGCAAACAGG
This 253-nucleotide ribosomal RNA is filed under the name uncultured bacterium. RNAcentral's name for it is "partial 16S ribosomal RNA". It matches the Rfam family "Bacterial small subunit ribosomal RNA", at positions 524 to 776 of the family's 1533-position model. RNAcentral also lists the same sequence under 1 other name. The record is from RNAcentral.